This 443-nucleotide ribosomal RNA is filed under the name uncultured bacterium. RNAcentral describes it as "partial 16S ribosomal RNA". It matches the Rfam family "Bacterial small subunit ribosomal RNA", at positions 338 to 795 of the family's 1533-position model. The record is from RNAcentral.
CCUACGGGAGGCAGCAGUGGGGAAUAUUGGGCAAUGGGCGCAAGCCUGACCCAGCAACGCCGCGUGAAGGAAGAAGGCUUUCGGGUUGUAAACUUCUUUUCUCAGGGACGAAGAAAGUGACGGUACCUGAGGAAUAAGCCACGGCUAACUACGUGCCAGCAGCCGCGGUAAUACGUAGGUGGCAAGCGUUCUCCGGAUUUAUUGGGUGUAAAGGGCGUGUAGGCGGGAGCGCAAGUCAGAUGUGAAAACUCAGGGCUCAACCCUGAGCCUGCAUUUGAAACUGUGUUUCUUGAGUGCUGGGGAGGCAAUCGGAAUUCGGGGUGUAGCGGUGAAAUGCGUAGAUAUCCGGAGGAACACCAGUGGCGAAGGCGGAUUGCUGGACAGUAACUGACGCUGAGGCGCGAAGGCGUGGGGAGCAAACAGGAUUAGAUACCCUAGUAGUC